Small nuclear RNA from Grammomys surdaster, 121 nucleotides. NCBI's taxonomy places the organism in Eukaryota, Metazoa, Chordata, Mammalia, Rodentia, Muridae. The record is from RefSeq and is a predicted model, not a curated record.
GUGUUGUAUGAGAGUAAAGAAGGUUCAUAUUCCUCUUGACAAGGAAGUGUCCUUGGGUCUAACAGGAUACAUAUGGUUAAGGCAUUGUGACCUGCUUUGUGGUGGCUAACCACAGUUUUUU